This 116-nucleotide ribosomal RNA is filed under the name Chloroflexota bacterium. The record is from RNAcentral. Lineage: Bacteria; Bacillati; Chloroflexota.
UGGUGACUAUAGCGGGGUGGGCCCACCCGUUCCCAUCCCGAACACGGAAGUGAAACGCCCCUGCGCAGACGAUACUGCCCUGGUAACGGGGUGGGACAAUAUGGCGUUGCCAGGAA